UGUAAGCGUAUACCAAAGUUGUUGCAGUUAAAACGCUCGUUGUCGGAAUUUGGCAGUUCCGGAUGUGUGCACGUCGUGUGCGCACUUCGCGGGGAUUGCUUUUGUGGUCUUGCGUAGGAUGAGGCACUUUUAUUAGUGAACGUCCUCACGCAACCACUUUUUACUGUGAGAAAAUCAGAGUGCUCAAAGCAGGCAUUUGCCGUGAAUGUAUUAGCAUGGAAUAAUAGAAUAGGACUUGGUUCUAUUUUGUUGGUUUGUUGGGACUGAGUAAUGAUUAAGAGGGACAGUUGGGGGCAUUUGUAUUUCGGUGCUAGAGGUGAAAUUCUUAGAUUACCGAAAGACAAACUGCUGCGAAAGCGUCUGCCAAGGAUGUUUUCAUUGA
This 382-nucleotide ribosomal RNA is filed under the name uncultured eukaryote. RNAcentral describes it as "partial 18S ribosomal RNA". It matches the Rfam family "Eukaryotic small subunit ribosomal RNA", at positions 592 to 976 of the family's 1831-position model. The record is from RNAcentral.